CGAGCUGGGUUCAGAACGUCGUGAGACAGUUCGGUCCUCUAUCCGCUGUGGGCGUAGGAAAAUUGAGGGGUUCAUUCUUCAGUACGAGAGGACCGAGAAUGACGGACCGCUGGUGUUCCGGUUAUCGUGUCAACGGUAUCGCCGGGUAGCUAAGUCCGGAAUGGAUAAGCGCUGAAAGCAUCUAAGCGCCAAGCCAAUCCCAAGAUAAAUUUUCCCUUGAGAGUCGUGGAAGACUACCACGUUGAUAGGCUGGAUGUGUAAGUACGGUAACGUAUUGAGCUAACCAGUACUAAUUACUCGAUAGAUUUAGUCGU
This 314-nucleotide ribosomal RNA is filed under the name Opitutaceae bacterium. RNAcentral describes it as "partial 23S ribosomal RNA". It matches the Rfam family "Bacterial large subunit ribosomal RNA", at positions 2601 to 2925 of the family's 2925-position model. The record is from RNAcentral. Lineage: Bacteria; Pseudomonadati; Verrucomicrobiota; Opitutia; Opitutales; Opitutaceae.